Molecule: ribosomal RNA, 253 nt
Filed under: uncultured bacterium
Lineage: Bacteria
Description: partial 16S ribosomal RNA
Rfam family: Bacterial small subunit ribosomal RNA
Source: RNAcentral
GACAGAGGGUGCAAACGUUGCUCGGAAUUACUGGGCGUAAAGCGCGUGUAGGUGGACCAGCAAGUCAGGCGUGAAAUCCCUAGGCUCAACCUAGGAACUGCACCUGAAACUGCUGGUCUGGAGUGGUGGAGAGGAAAGCAGAAUUCCUGGUGUAGAGGUGAAAUUCGUGGAUAUCAGGAGGAACACCGGUGGCGAAGGCGGCUUUCUGGACACUUACUGACACUGAGACGCGAAAGCGUGGGGAGCAAACAGG